CUCUACUUGCCGUUAGAUUGCCAUCGUGCGGUUUGCUCGGGGAUAUCCAGGACACACAGGAUCCUCUCCUUUCUAGAGUCGUCGUUUUCCUCGGCCUCUUCACCUCAAGCUCCUCGCAUCCACUCGUUUCUUAUCUCCUCCCCACAAACUACUCCUCCACGACCAGCCCACAUCGAAGGGAUCCCGGCGCCGGCGGAGGAGAAACAGGAGGCGCUGGUGGUGCGGAUCGAACAGCGAUCGAGCUCCGGUGUCGAAGGGCGGCGGUCAUGGCGGUUGGGGAGGAGCUCGCGCUCCUAUGGCAAAGGGGCGGGGGCAAUGGAGUUGGUGGGGGCUCGGGGGUGUGGGGCGAGGCGGCGGACGCCCACCUCCACCGCGUAUUGAAGGCCCCUCCUCUGUAGCGCGCCGCCAGGAGGACUGCAUAGGACCAGAGAGUUCCCACGCAGGGUGCAGGACCUUGAUCCGGGAGAAGAUGUGCUGCUGGCCGAAGGAUCCGCCUUGGCUAUCGCGCUCGCAAGAGCCGCCACGCCGUGCCGCUCCGUUGUUUUCCCCCUCCAGCGUAUGCACAUCAACAGCGCCCGUCGCCCCGCCUUUAGCCUGAUUCCCGAUCGAAAGCAGCAGUCUGCAGGCAUGGUCGUCCACGCAAGAAGGCAGCAGGCCACUUUUUCCUCUCGCGUAUGUGGUGUCCUCUCCCUCUCGUCUUUUCUGGCUGCUUCCAUGGGCAUACUACUUGAUCUACUCUACAUAUUGAUGAUGUAGUUAUUCACCUCCAGAUCAAUAGAAGAUUAUGUUCCCUAGAUGUAAUUUUUGCAGUCCAAUUUUUGCCUCUUAAGUUUUUUUACUUCUAGAAUGGUCAAAAGAUGUAUAUUAUGUCACUGGAUGUAUUUUUUGCACACUAAUUUUCGCCUAUUGAAUUUUCCACUUUUCAGAAUCAGUGAAAUGAUGUAACUAUGUUAGUUUCUUUCUCUACUUUAGAUGUAAUUUUUAUUAUUUUUCUACAUCCAGAACGUUUAAAAGGGUCAAGGUGUAAAACACUAUAAUAUUUGUGAUCCCAGCUUUUGUGAUUUUUGAUGUAAUUUUUAUAUUUUUUUACAUCUAUCAUUAUAUUUUUUACAUCCUCAAUUAGAUCACUUAUGAGUUGUUUUUUUACGAGGAAAGUAAUUUUCUCUAUCUCUACUACUUAAAAAGAAGGAACGUGUUCCCCCUUCUCCCCUACUUUCGUCGUCCUUCUGGUCGCUCCACCUCUCCCGAACAAGCCGACAAGUGGGCCAGAUCCCAAAAUUCUCUCCCCGAGUCGAUUUCCUCAUCUCCCGUGCGCUGCUCCCCCACCUUCUCUCCCUCUCUCGCCUGCAAGCACCAACUAGGGUUCCGUCGCCGGUCCAUUGCACCCUUGUUGCUGGUCGUUGACCUCAAAAGCGGGAUCCCCGCGCUGCGCCAUGAUCGCCGCCAUUUGCGAAAAUACGCCGCCCACCGCCCCCGAUGCCUAUGUCGCCCACCAUCCCCAUCUCGAUCAUCGCCGGCGCCCCUCACCUCCAGCGCGGACGCUGGUCGUCACAGUGUAGGCUGACGCCAGCUAAUGUAUCGAGCUUCGCCGUCAUCGGAGCCCAUCAGGUCUAGCGUGGACGCCGACCAUAGAAGCGCAGGACGACGCCGCCCACAAUACGUAGCUCGGCCUCCUCCGCCCCUCAAGAUCUUUGAGCAUGGGUGCUUGAUCCGUCGACAACGAAGGACAACGCGGGUCUGCUGGCGAAGGACAAUGGUGAUUUGUCCCUCCCUCGCCCUCUUCGACAUGGUGUCCUACCUCCACUCGCUCGCCUCUAGCCCCUCCCUCGACCAGGAAGGGAUCCACGAGGGGGUGCUGCAGCGCUGGGAUGAGAUGGUGAGUAAGCUCGGCCUCUUCUCCUCCAACGAGACCAAGGAAGACGUCUCCAACGCAACCUCAACUACUCGUGACAUACUACCUUGGUGAGAUGACUGAACAAGUGGAGCAGGAGGAUUGAUUUGGUGGCUGCUUGCGUGCAUGCGUCUGCUGCCCCGCACGAUUUGGUUGAAAUUCAUCGAUUCACAAGUUUGAUAAAUCUGAUGAGAGUUUGAUCAGGGAGGAUACAGAGGAUGGGGAGAAAACAGAGGAGCUUCAUGUGAUUCACGCGAAGGUGGACGAGAUCAUUGCUGAUGAAUGGUUUGUCUCUCUGCGCAAACCUUUGGAGAAAUUUACAUAAAUUAAGAUACAUCCUGCAUUGAUUCACAGGGAACAUACCCGAUUUCGAAAUGUUGCAAAGCCUGGGGUAGAAAAAAAGGGAGAAAGAUCAUCGACGAUACGGUCAGCUCGAUUUUCCUGUGCAAAGGGCCGUGGAGAUGUAAAGAAGGUUGACCAGGAUUCAAGCAUGACUGGCGUCGAGAAUGAGGUCACACCAAGUGUAAUGCUUUCCUCUUGGUCUCAUUCACAUUUGGUAACACCUCUCAAACGCUCCUGCACGCUGCAUCUCCACAAGCCAUGUGCCUUUUUCAAGUUGUAAAUAGGUGGGUGUCCUGCAAUGUAAUUGAUGUACGCUUGUACAUGAAUUCUUUGAUAUCUCAAAGAAAUAUGAUUGCCCAAAAUCUAAUUGGUACAAAGUUGGUUUUUAUACAGAGAGUUUUGAUGAAACACAUGCCUGGAUUUCUGGCUGAUAUAUGACAGAACAGUGCUAUCGUCUAUAACAAUAUACAAUAUGAUGCUUGGCUCCUAGAGCACCUGUAAGUUUGAUCAUAUCUAACCAGAGAGAGGGGGACGAAUCUACUGUUAUGGUUCAUAAUACUAACUUCAUCUAGGCAUCCAUACCAGCCAUGUACACUACUUCAAAUUGUACUUGGUAGCAAAGUUGUCUUAUUUUUUUUGCUUAAAAAAGUCUUGCUGAAUUUUGGGCAGUCACACGAUCAUGCAGCCCUACAAGAAUUUGCAGUCGUGAAGUGACAGAACCAAUGUAUUAGUUGCCCCGGUAGUUAAAUGUUCUGGUGUGUCUAAUGUGCCUUGUAUUGCUUACAUUUGUGUUCUUCCUUUUAAGGCCUCAGAAUGAUGCAUGUGAAUUAUAUAAUUUUAGAUUCUUCAACUUAAAUUUGUAUCUUUGCAAGUUGUCGAGAUGCAAGCUAUUUCUCAGAUUGGUACUGAUAUGAAGUGCUGCUGGUAUAUGGUAGAAAGCGAAGUUUGAGGGAGGUUAUGAAAAUAGCGUAGUUUGUGUGUGAGUCGUAUGAAAUCCAACAAAGUACUACAAAGUAACUUUCCUUGAUCUAGCAUAGUUACUGUUUGUUGAAACAAAGUAAUACAAAGUAACUUUCCUUGAUCUAGCAUAGUUACUGUUUGUUGAAACAAAGUAAUACAAAGCAACUUUCCUUGAUCUAGCAUAGCUAAUUAUAAGUUAUUUUAAUUAGGUAGUUGGGGCGAGAUCUGAUGUUGAAUACAGCUCCAUGCGUCCAAGGAGAAGACAUUUCAUUAACGGAUAAUAGCAGACUGCAGAAGGACGGUGAUAGCAGGAUCCAAAAAAUGUAAUACAAGGUUCGUAACCACAUGGCCAGUAUGCAUUAGGAAUACAUAAAGCAAAUGUUAUAUCACAGUAGGAGUUUUUAUUUGUGCGAAAAGUUAUUUAUUGGAAGCACAAAGACAUCAAGGCACAUGUUUGUUUUCUCCAUUGCAAAAACUUCAUGGCACAUAUUUUUAUUUAUUCAUCCUUUCCAAAUCAAGGUCUUCAUGAGGUAAUGUCUUCUGAGGUAUUGAUGAACAAUUUUUUUGGCUAGAAGAUUUAUUUCCAUUAGUUGCUUACCAACACGCCUGAAGUAGAUGGUCCAGGGAUCUUAUCGACAAGGUGCCAACAAUUGACUGAAUUGUACUACAUCAGGAGAAAGGGCAAGGUAGCGUUUCUUAUUAGUUUCUCAUUUUUCUUUCUUUGCCUUUGAUGCGUCAUUUGUCUGUUUGACUAGGUAGAUACGUAUUUGUCUUAUUUUAGGUAGCAGAACAUGUAAAUUUACAAUGCAGGAGAGGAAGGAAAUUUACCAAAUACUGGUCUGAACUUUGUACACCAUAAUUCUCUUCUCUGCAUGUUUUGUUUUGGCCACAACGAAAUAUUCAUACCGACAUGGAGUACACCUAGAAAACACUGGAGUCUAAACUCGGAAGACAUGGGGUCUUACCUCUGAUUUUUUUGUGCUGUAGCUAUUAAAUAUUUCUACAAACACUAAAGUGAAAUGUGUAAAUAGUAAAUACAGUGUCUUAGUACACAUGUCAAUUGAAUGUGUUAUAUAACGUCGUUCAAGCCUGUAAAUGAGAACUCUUCAUUAUGUAGGGAUGUACAUAUGUUUGUAUUUGUACCAUGCUUCGUUCAUCCUUUUUGAACAUAUUUGUUUUUGGUGUUCAUACGGUUCUGCAGUGUUGCAAGUGCUUCAUGUAUACUACCCGAGAUAUAGGUAUAUGGGGGAUUUACUAGCACGCCGAGAGGCUCAUGGCACAACAGGUAUCAUUGAAUUCCUUGGCUUUUUAGUUGAUGUACCAUUGCGCCACGAGUGCUAGCUAGAAAUUGGCCGACUAUGCAUAUUUGGACUUGAAUAAGCAAUUAGGAGUAAUAGGGGUAUUUUUCUUGGCCUAUCUCAAACUUAAAGGGGCGGAGAAUUAUUCAAAAAGGUGAGAUAUUGUAUGGUGCAUAUCUUUUAACAUUAGCUGGAUUGAUUCUGAAAUGGAGAGCAAACACAUGGCGAGGAAUUAGCUGAAGGUCAACAAUGUCUUUCUCGAUCUGGCAGCCUCUGACUAAAGUGCACCUGCAAAGUCGACCCCUCGAAAACGCUACUAGCUGGAAGUUUGGAUCCCUUCACUCAUAUUUUCUUAUUUGCCCUCUAGGAAUUUAUGCAUACGCUCAUGUUGUCAUGUUCAAGCUAGCUUUGCUGUUAAACUUCAUGUCGGUAUGGAACCAUUCUCUCAAAUCUAAGUCUCUAUUGUGAACAAUAGUUAGAGUAUUAUUUAUGUGUAAUACAUGCAGUGUCUAGGUUGUUCCCCUUCAACAAAUGUCUUUUUGGCAAUGUAAAUAUAGAAGUGAGGAGGAAGGAGCACAUGUUUUCAUCAAGUUCAAGGAGGUUAACCUGGUGUGUGGCGAAAGCACUACAUAUCGUAUGGAAAAUAUUAGAGCGAUUGAGGUUUCAACUGAUGACUACUUGCUGGAGGAACCAGAAUAGUACCCAUGAAUGACAUAUUCCUUUCUCGAUUGAAGAUGUUGCUCAGAACACUUGAUGCUAUUCUAUACAUGUGCAUUAAGAAAUAAAAUUUGAGACCCGUGGCAACGCACGGGCAUUUGUACUAGUUUAUAAAAAAUAGAUGAAGUUUUGCAUCUAAAUUACAUGGGUUGGAAUACGGUAGGGUGCUUUUUCUCGUUCAGUUGCAGGGGACCUCCGCUCUCGCAUGCGGGGAAAGGGUUUCCUCGGUCACAUUUUCCACUUCGAGUAACAUGUCGCGUUUAGAUCUGGGACCACUGGGACCACUUUCCUGUUUUAGAAAUAAUUCUGUUCAGACAUAAGGGGCACCCUGGUAGACUAACGGGUGCUAUAGCACCGUGUAGCAACGUCCAAAAAAAAAUGCACAUUUGAAGUGAAGUGAUGGCCGAGUAUGUGUAACCAAAUACGGAGUAUGUAAAUCCAGUUGGAUGCUUACAAUACACAUUACAUGACCAGGAGGAUCAUGGCUUACACAAACUAAUCGAUCCUUUCCUUAUUCAAGUGGAGCAAAUCAACACACGCUAGUAACGAUAACGACCGAAAUAACGAAGCUUGCUAGGCUAGGGCACACACACACCACCUGCGUACGUUGCGUACAUACAUAGGCAAAGCAACAUACU
Molecule: RNA transcript, 5846 nt
Organism: Lolium perenne
Lineage: Eukaryota; Viridiplantae; Streptophyta; Magnoliopsida; Poales; Poaceae
Source: RefSeq, a predicted model, not a curated record